CGUGCACGUGAACUUUCGAGUCUCUCAAACACUGGAGCGGCCGGCGCGCAGAGUUGCCAUGGAAACGGCGCGGGACCACUGCUACUGGUAAACAACAAAACUCCCUCUCUCGCUGUUGUUUCAACUUUUCACGGCUUUUUUCAGUAGUAACGAAAUAACCCAUAACAGAGAGAAAGCUCCUACUUCAACAUUUCUGAAGAAAGCUGCUGCCGGAGAAGUAACGUUAGGACACAGAGAUGGCAACAUGAACGGAAAAAAAGGGGUUGUUGGUGAAAAAAGAGCCUUGACCUACAAAAGGUGCAGCUAAUAAUUGACUAUGUCAAAAAGAGGCACCCAGGCAUCGGAGGCACUGAGAUCAAGGUCUGCAUGACACAAAAGUUAAGAGAUCUGAGGAGACGAGCAGAAAGAUGACUGUGGUGAAGAUGGAUGAAGAUGGAUGAGGCUUUCAAGUGCAGGAUCUACAAUUGUUUUCGUUUCACCUUUUCGUUUUGCCUGUUUUGAAUGUGAUGCACAGCCUAGGCCUAUAUAAUUGUGUUUUUUUGUCUGUUUUUAAUCAACAAUUAAACAAUGAAUCGACAAAAACAUGGACUGUA
Non-coding RNA from Pimephales promelas (fathead minnow), 593 nucleotides. The record is from RefSeq and is a predicted model, not a curated record. NCBI's taxonomy places the organism in Eukaryota, Metazoa, Chordata, Actinopteri, Cypriniformes, Leuciscidae.